ACUCAAAGGAAUUGACGGGGACCCGCACAAGCGGUGGAUGAUGUGGUUUAAUUCGAUGCUACGCGAAGAACCUUACCCAGGCUUGACAUCCUGCGAAUCUGUUGGAAACAACGGAGUGCCUUCGGGAGCGCAGUGACAGGUGUUGCAUGGCCGUCGUCAGCUCGUGUCGUGAGAUGUUUGGUUAAGUCCAUUAACGAGCGCAACCCUUAUCGUCUGUUACAAUUUCAGGCGAGACUGCCCCGGCCAACGGGGAGGAAGGUGGGGAUGAGGUCAGGUCAGCAUGGCCCUUACGCCUGGGGCUACACACGUCAUACAAUGGCCGGUACAGCGCGUUUGCCAACCCGCGAGGGGGAGCUAAUCGUAUCAAAACCGGUCCCAGUUCGGAUUGGAGGCUGCAACUCGCCUCCAUGAAGUUGGAAUCGCUAGUAAACGUGGGUCAGCAUACCACGUUGAAUACGUUCCCGGGUCUUGUACACACCGCCCGU
Molecule: ribosomal RNA, 485 nt
Filed under: uncultured bacterium
Lineage: Bacteria
Description: partial 16S ribosomal RNA
Rfam family: Bacterial small subunit ribosomal RNA
Source: RNAcentral